This 226-nucleotide long non-coding RNA is filed under the name Cicer arietinum (chickpea). RNAcentral's name for it is "long non-coding RNA (CARI_LNC002345)". Lineage: Eukaryota; Viridiplantae; Streptophyta; Magnoliopsida; Fabales; Fabaceae. The record is from RNAcentral.
CUCAUUUACUUUAAAACCAAUUAAUAAUUUUUUCAAUUGUAUUUUCAAAUAUAAUGAAUCAGAAUAUUCGCAAUUACAAAAACUAAAGUUAAUGCGUAAAACAAAAGAAACUCCUAAAGCUAAAACUUUUGACAUUUUACUAACCAAAAAUAAAUUUUAGUUGGUCAUAACUUUGGACGCUUGUGGAAAACUCUCCCAAACAGUCUAACACCGAUACAAAAGUAUC